GCCGUGAGUCGUGAUCAGCUCGUCCUUGAGAGGCAGAGAGGGAGAGAGAAAAAGGACUGUAUUAUUGCUUAGAAUCAGAGGAGGGGUUAUGGAUUGAUACAAAUAGUCACCCCCGCCAAGCCAACCCCAGCGCAGGCUGAAUUAAUGUGUUGCUAUUUUUGGGAGCCCCGUGUUUCCAGGGGAGACCUAAUGACGCAAUGACGUCAAUGCGGGUCAAUCGCAGACUGGAGGAAUUGAGUGGCUUCCAUUUGGGUCUUUUGCAGUAUUUCCUACAGAAAGGAUGGAAACGAGUACAAAAUGGAAGUAUAUUGCCUCCAAAAUGCAUCGAAAACAGAGGUGAAUCAAAAUGCUGAAGUGAAAAUGAUCAGACCGGCAUCACGUCGCCCCAACCCUUCGAGCAUCAGCGGUAGUAAGGGAGGUGUGUAUGUAUGGAUGCUUUUUCCCUCCUCAUCCACAGCGCAUUCGUGGCAUGAAGCUUGGCUUUGACUCGCUUUGCGGGACAACAUUUUCGCGAACAUUUGACGUGCUUGUGCGGUUUGAUGUGCGCAGCAUGGGCUGUUUGUUGCCGUGUGGCGGUCGCGUGCACAUGCCGUGUUUCGCCCCGUCUCCUGCUACGCGCUGCCCGUUACAUACGUGUGAUUGUGCCGUGUUUUAUUCGCAUUGUGUUUCCCUUUUUCCUCUCUCCCAGGGGCUUUACACAACCUGACCUAUUCCGAGCCCUCGCAUCCAGACGCACAGAGGUGCAGCGGGUGAUGGUGGUCGUGCGCUCAGCUCUGCAGCCUUGUUCCUUUCAGACCUUUUUGCGGUCUGGGCUUGCUGUUCAGUCUAUCCAGGAAGCCCUUACCCCAAAAAGCAUCUGCAAGGGACCCUCACGUCUCAGAAAUCACUCCCAGGGCCUGACAGCAGCAGAGUAACGUGACUCUGGGUGAAAGAUGUAACUUUGUAGUAGAAAACACAGGCGCUGUUAAUUAGGAAAAGGUUUUAUCUGCUCUGGUUCCACUAGUUUCCCUUCCGCUCACCUCUUGCUGGGCUGCUCCACCAAUAACAAAGAAGAAGCUGGGAAGUACAAAAACUUUCCAACAAAUAUCUUUUAUUUUAAACUUUCACUAGCGUCCAUCAUGUUCUUCAGCCCUGAGCUGCUGCACCGCAUCUUCGGCGCCGUGUGAUUUCCCCACAAGAUGGCAGCAUUGCUUAAAUUUAUUUUAUUUAUUAUUAUUUUGACUGAGGAAAUUGUGUGUAAUAUACAUAUUGUAUAAACUACAAAAUUAUCUUACCUUAGAAAAGACAUAAUUGCAAGUAGACAAUUCUGGAUGUUUGCGGCACGUGCGUCAACGUGAAAAGAAGGAAGGGGGAAAUGGAGCGCAGCAAAGCUAGGGGUUCUUCUCGUGGUGGGGGUGGUGAGAUUCAGUGGGGACUGGAAGAAACAAUACAGAUGUGUCCUGUGCAGGAAAUAUAUAAUACAUGAGCAGUCAAAGUCUGUCUCCUCUAUCUGCAGUUACACCAGGUUAUGUUCAUAAGAUGAUGAGAUGAUGUGUGUGUUAAUGUGUAGUUGGACCAUACAUACACUAUACAGUACAUACAGAAGGAGCUGAAUCGCUUUAGGUUUCUGUUUAGUAGCAGAUCUGUUCAGUGUUUUCCAGUCUGAAAACACCCCUCGUUUAAUUGUUAUGAAAAGUGAUUUUUUUUAGCUCAGAUGAUGACGAAAUAAACAGCCUUUAAAGAAAUGUGUCA
Molecule: long non-coding RNA, 1731 nt
Organism: Betta splendens (Siamese fighting fish)
Lineage: Eukaryota; Metazoa; Chordata; Actinopteri; Anabantiformes; Osphronemidae
Source: Ensembl